Molecule: ribosomal RNA, 625 nt
Filed under: Streptomyces sporangiiformans
Lineage: Bacteria; Bacillati; Actinomycetota; Actinomycetes; Kitasatosporales; Streptomycetaceae
Description: Bacterial large subunit ribosomal RNA
Rfam family: Bacterial large subunit ribosomal RNA
Source: Rfam by way of RNAcentral
GUCGUGACUGCGUGCCUUUUGAAGAAUGAGCCUGCGAGUUUGCGGUGUGUUGCGAGGUUAACCCGUGUGGGGGAGCCGUAGCGAAAGCGAGUCCGAAUAGGGCGGUAUAGUAGCGCGCUCAAGACCCGAAGCGGAGUGAUCUAGCCAUGGGCAGGCUGAAGCGCGGGUAAGACCGUGUGGAGGGCCGAACCCACCAGGGUUGAAAACCUGGGGGAUGACCUGUGGUUAGGGGUGAAAGGCCAAUCAAACUCCGUGAUAGCUGGUUCUCCCCGAAAUGCAUUUAGGUGCAGCGUCGUGUGUUUCUUGCCGGAGGUAGAGCACUGGAUAGGCGAUGGGCCCUACCGGGUUACUGACCUUAGCCAAACUCCGAAUGCCGGUAAGUGAGAGCGCGGCAGUGAGACUGUGGGGGAUAAGCUCCAUGGUCGAGAGGGAAACAGCCCAGAGCAUCGACUAAGGCCCCUAAGCGUACGCUAAGUGGGAAAGGAUGUGGAGUCGCAGAGACAACCAGGAGGUUGGCUUAGAAGCAGCCACCCUUGAAAGAGUGCGUAAUAGCUCACUGGUCAAGUGAUUCCGCGCCGACAAUGUAGCGGGGCUCAAGCGUACCGCCGAAGUCGUGUCAUUGCAG